Molecule: transfer RNA, 84 nt
Filed under: Felis catus (domestic cat)
Lineage: Eukaryota; Metazoa; Chordata; Mammalia; Carnivora; Felidae
Rfam family: tRNA
About the family: Transfer RNA (tRNA) molecules are approximately 80 nucleotides in length. Their secondary structure includes four short double-helical elements and three loops (D, anti-codon, and T loops).
Source: Rfam by way of RNAcentral
GCCUGGUGGCUCAGUGGGUUGAGCGUCCGACUUCGGCUCAGGUCAUGAUCUCACAGUUCGUGGGUUCGAGCCCCACAUCAGGCU